UGCCAGCCGCCGCGGUAAUACGGAGGGUGCGAGCGUUAAUCGGAUUUACUGGGCGUAAAGCGCACGCAGGCGGUUUGUUAAGCUAGAUGUGAAAGCCCCGGGCUCAACCUGGGAUGGUCAUUUAGAACUGGCAGACUAGAGUUUUGGAGAGGGGAGUGGAAUUCCAGGUGUAGCGGUGAAAUGCGUAGAUAUCUGGAGGAACAUCAGUGGCGAAGGCGGCUCCCUGGCCAAAGACUGACGCUGAGAUGCGAAGGCAUGGGUAGCAAACGGGAUUAGAUA
RNAcentral lists this ribosomal RNA (279 nucleotides) under uncultured bacterium. RNAcentral's name for it is "partial 16S ribosomal RNA". It matches the Rfam family "Bacterial small subunit ribosomal RNA", at positions 506 to 784 of the family's 1533-position model. The record is from RNAcentral.